AUGAGUGUGUUCAAGCUUCCAGCCUCCGUGCGUGAUGACCUAACACGGAUGAUGCGACAGUAUUGGUGGGUUGAGAAUGGAAAGAAAAGAUGGCAUGACUUAGUUGGAAAAAAAAUGAAAUUGCCCAAAUCAAUGGGAGGAAUGGGAUUUAGAGAUAUGCGGGCAUUUCAAGCGUUGUUAGCAAAACAAGCUUGGCGGUUGCUGGAUAACCCCGAUAGUCUAUGUGCUUGUUUAUUGCGUGCAAAAUACUACCCUACUGGGAAUUUGUUGGACACUAUUUUCCCUAGCAGUUCGUCGGCAAUAUGGAAGGGUAUUAGUCAUGGUCUGGAUCUGCUGAAGAAGGGGAUUAUCUGGAGAGUUGGUGAUGGUACCUUAAUUAAAACCUGGCGUGAUCCUUGGAUUCCAUGGGGGCACGACCUUAGGCCAAUUACACCAAAGAGAAAUUGUCGUUAUAAUUGGGUCGAGGACUUUCUGGAUGAACAUGGAGCAUGGGAUGUGCAACGACUAAGAGAGCACUUUUGGGACAUUGAUGUUUGUGAAAUUCUGAAAAUUCGUACUUCUCCAAGGAAUAGACAAGAUUUCAUUGGUUGGUUCCCGGAGAAGAACGAAUGCUUUUCUGUGAGGAGCGCCUACCGGCUGGCAACCGGGAAUCAUGCGAUAGGUGCCUCAAGUCACAACCCUACCGGAGUGCGUCCUAUUUGGUAA
RNAcentral lists this ribosomal RNA (705 nucleotides) under Triticum aestivum (bread wheat). Its description in RNAcentral is "partial small subunit ribosomal RNA". The record is from RNAcentral. Lineage: Eukaryota; Viridiplantae; Streptophyta; Magnoliopsida; Poales; Poaceae.